GAUGAACGCUGGCGGCGUGCCUAAUACAUGCAAGUCGAGCGAGCGGACGAGAAGCUUGCUUCUCUGAUGUUAGCGGCGGACGGGUGAGUAACACGUGUAUAACCUACCUAUCAGACUGGUAUAACUUCGGGAAACCGGCGCUAAUACCGUAUAAUAUUUUGCUCCGCAUUAUUCAAAAGUGAAAGACGGUCUUUCUGUCUCUUCUCGCUGGUUCCGCGCUGCUUUAGCUAGUUGUUACGGUAACGGCUUACCAAGGCAACCAUGCAUAGCCGACCUGAGAGGGUGAUAGGCCACACGGGAAGGGGAACAGGGUCCAGACGCCUAAGGGAGGCAGCAGUAGGGAAUCUUCCGCAAUGGGCGAAAGCCUGACGGAGCAAGGCCGCGUGAGAGAUGAAGGUCUUCGGAUCGUAAAACUCUGUUAUUAGGGAAGAACAGAUGUGUAAGUAACUGUGCACAGCUUGACGGUACCUAAUCAGAAAGCAACGGCUAACUACGUG
This 497-nucleotide ribosomal RNA is filed under the name uncultured bacterium. RNAcentral describes it as "partial 16S ribosomal RNA". It matches the Rfam family "Bacterial small subunit ribosomal RNA", at positions 28 to 507 of the family's 1533-position model. The record is from RNAcentral.